Molecule: ribosomal RNA, 204 nt
Filed under: uncultured bacterium
Lineage: Bacteria
Description: partial 16S ribosomal RNA
Rfam family: Bacterial small subunit ribosomal RNA
Source: RNAcentral
CAGUCUGCAACUCGACUGCACGAAGCUGGAAUCGCUAGUAAUCGCGGAUCAGCACGCCGCGGUGAAUACGUUCCCGGGCCUCGUACACACCGCCCGUCACACCAUGGAAGUCUGCAAUGCCCGAAGCCGGUGGCCUAACCACUUAUGUGGAAGGAGCCGUCUAAGGCAGGGCAGAUGACUGGGGUGAAGUCGUAACAAGGUACC